RNAcentral lists this ribosomal RNA (252 nucleotides) under uncultured bacterium. RNAcentral's name for it is "partial 16S ribosomal RNA". It matches the Rfam family "Bacterial small subunit ribosomal RNA", at positions 524 to 776 of the family's 1533-position model. The record is from RNAcentral.
UACGGAGGAUGCGAGCGUUAUCCGGAUUUAUUGGGUUUAAAGGGUGCGUAGGCGGGAUGCCAAGUCUGCGGUAAAAAUGCGGUGCUCAACGCCGUCGAGCCGUUGAAACUGGCGUUCUUGAGUGGGCGAGAAGUAUGCGGAAUGCGUGGUGUAGCGGUGAAAUGCAUAGAUAUCGCGCAGAACUCCGAUUGCGAAGGCAGCAUACCGGCGCCCUACUGACGCUGAGGCACGAAAGCGUGGGUAUCGAACAGG